Long non-coding RNA from Bombyx mori (domestic silkworm), 691 nucleotides. RefSeq lists it as uncharacterized. The record is from RefSeq and is a predicted model, not a curated record. Lineage: Eukaryota; Metazoa; Arthropoda; Insecta; Lepidoptera; Bombycidae. The transcript has 2 exons.
CUGUACAUACUUUGAAAUUAGUUUCAUGCGAUGUAUCACAAUAAAGAAGUUCCCGCUUCUUAGAAUGUAAUUUAUGUAUUUAAUAAUUCCACAGUUUGCGGUGUUAUACUUAUAAAUCACCUGCUUCUUGUUUCAGAGCCGUUUCGGAAUAUUAUUCAACACUUGCGUUAUACGGAUUUUCCUGUGGGGAUUAUGUAAAUUGAGAUAAAAGGAAAAUGUCGUGUAGCCAAAGAAUCUUUCGAAAAGCAUCUCUUUUGAAGAAGAAUUCAACAUCAAUCAGAAUAAGUUGAAGGGAUGAUAAAUUCAUACAAGACAUUGUUUAAGUUCUAUGAAUAAUAAGAAGGCCAGUACUUUGUGGAUUUUCCGGUUCAGCCGGGAUAUUUCGAAGUUUUCUUAUUUUGGCCCGUAAUCCUAACUUCACCGAGAGGUAUUUUAUUUUUGGAAUGUUUUUUAUUUUCCCGUGACUUCAAUUUUAUUGUGGAUAUAUCUAAAGAGUUUCAUUAUUUCUGACUUGUUACAGUUUUUCGAUGUAUUUUCUAUCUUGUUCACAAUAAUCUAUUUAUUACAAAUGGUAUAUGUUCAUCGUUAUUUUUAAUAAUAGGGAUUACUUUCUAUGAUAUAUACUCGUUGUAAUUAGUGAGUAAUGUUAUUUCAAUUAUUAAAUAAAAUAUUUAAUAAUCUUCAAAACAGA